AGAGUUUGAUCCUGGCUCAGGAUGAACGCUGGCGGCGUGCUUAACACAUGCAAGUCGAACGGAGUUUUAACGGAAGUUUCGGAUGGAAGUUAAAACUUAGUGGCGGACGGGUGAGUAAUGCGUGGGUAACCUGCCUCAUACAGGGGGAUAACAGUUAGAAAUGACUGCUAACACCGCAUAAUAUAGCGAAACCGCAUGAUUUUGCUAUCAAAUAUUUAUAGGUAUGAGAUGGGCCCGCGUCUGAUUAGCUAGUUGGUGGGGUAAAGCCUACCAAGGCGACGAUCAGUAGCCGGCUCGAGAGAGUGACCGGCCACAUUGGGACUGAGACACGGCCCAAACUCCUACGGGAGGCAGCAGUGGGGAAUAUUGGACAAUGGGGGAAACCCUGAUCCAGCGAACCGCCGCGUGAGUGAAGAAGUAUUUCGGUAUGUAAAGCUCUAUCAGCAGGGAAGAUAAUGACAGUACCUGACUAAGAAGCCCCGGCUAACUACGUGCCAGCAGCCGC
This 505-nucleotide ribosomal RNA is filed under the name uncultured bacterium. Its description in RNAcentral is "bacterial SSU rRNA". It matches the Rfam family "Bacterial small subunit ribosomal RNA", at positions 8 to 518 of the family's 1533-position model. The record is from RNAcentral.